Molecule: long non-coding RNA, 270 nt
Organism: Ornithorhynchus anatinus (platypus)
Lineage: Eukaryota; Metazoa; Chordata; Mammalia; Monotremata; Ornithorhynchidae
Exons: 3
Source: RefSeq, a predicted model, not a curated record
GUUGAAACUCCUUCAGGGUAGAGUCCAUAUCUGCUACGCUAAGAGUUCUACAGUACAGCGCUAUGUACAAGGAUGUGGCAGCUCAGAAGCCGGUGACCGGCGGUAACGGUGACGGCGGCCGCUUGGUCCAGACCACCAAGGAGGGAUGGGAUCCCCUCACGCUCCCUGCCAGGAGCUGUAGCGAGGGCUCCAGGGACAGGGUCAAAGAGCUGCUGAAACCCCAGGACCUCCCAGAGUGGGAAAUUCUCUUCUCCGGGUAAUAAAAACAAU